This 1029-nucleotide ribosomal RNA is filed under the name uncultured organism. RNAcentral's name for it is "bacterial SSU rRNA". It matches the Rfam family "Bacterial small subunit ribosomal RNA", at positions 98 to 1130 of the family's 1533-position model. The record is from RNAcentral.
GCGCACGGGUGCGUAACGCGUAUGCAGCCUACCUUGAACUGGAAGAUAGCCCCGAGAAAUCGGGAUUAAUAUUCCAUAAUGUCCAUUUUUUGCAUAUGAGAUGGAUUAAAGUUACGGCGGUUCAAGAUGGGCAUGCGUGACAUUAGCUAGUUGGUGAGGUAACGGCUCACCAAGGCGACGAUGUCUAGGGGUCCUGAGAGGGUUUCCCCCCACACUGGUACUGAGACACGGACCAGACUCCUACGGAAGGCAGCAGUAAGGAAUAUUGGUCAAUGGACGCAAGUCUGAACCAGCCAUGCCGCGUGCAGGAUGACUGCCCUACGGGUUGUAAACUGCUUUUACGUGAGAAAAAACUCCCCGAUUCGUUCGGGGACUGAUGGUAUCACAUGAAUAAGCAUCGGCUAACUCCGUGCCAGCAGCCGCGGUAAUACGGAGGAUGCAAGCGUUAUCCGGAUUCAUUGGGUUUAAAGGGUGUGCAGGCGGAAUGAUAAGUCAGAGGUGAAAUCCCCCGGCUCAACCGGGGACCUGCCUUUGAUACUGUUGUUCUUGAGUAUAGUUGAAGUGGGCGGAAUGUGUCAUGUAGCGGUGAAAUGCAUAGAUAUGACACAGAACACCGAUAGCGAAGGCAGCUCACUAACCUAUAACUGACGCUCAUGCACGAAAGCGUGGGGAGCAAACAGGAUUAGAUACCCUGGUAGUCCACGCUGUAAACUAUGAUCACUAGUUGUUAGCGAUACACUGUUAGCGACUGAGGGAAACCAUUAAGUGAUCCACCUGGGGAGUACGGCCGCAAGGUUGAAACUCAAAGGAAUUGACGGGGGCCCGCACAAGCGGAGGAGCAUGUGGUUUAAUUCGAUGAUACGCGAGGAACCUUACCUGGGCUUAAGUGCAGGACGACAUCCCGUGAAAACGGGAUUUCUUCGGACGGCCUGCAAGGUGCUGCAUGGUUGUCAUCAGCUCGUGCCGUGAGGUGCCGGGUUAAGUCCCAUAUCGAGCCCAACCCCUAUUAUUAGUUGCCAUCAGGUAAUG